AGACGCUUCCUACAUCGACUUAUUCAAGAGUCAGUAUCAGAGUCAGUGCAUCGAAAGAGUGCGCCGCUGGUCCGUCCUUCAACAGUCGUCACUCUGUAACUGUUACAGCCACAAUUUUGUUUACCUUUUAUUGACACCCAUAAAUAACAGCACUAUGAAGGACUCCGUAGUGAUACUGCUUUGCUUUCUUUUGUUGAUUUCAAACGGAAAUGCCGGUCGUCUACAGUACGUUCUAGACGCAGACGAGGAAAUGUCGUUUUGAACUUGAAUUCACAACAGAUUCGUGUUGUGAAAAGAGCUGCUUUUAAUUUUGAUGAUGAACAUCCUUGUCCUUCUUUCUCUGCAGCCAGGUGUCCUACUCCUGAUGUGCAGGCGUUGUGCCGCGAACACAAACUCACCAAGUGCGAGACAGACUUUCCAAUCGUCGAUAUCUGAGGGGCCCACUAACUGUGAUAGAUAUAUAGCUAAAAUCUUAUAUGGGUAACUACAGAAAGAUAUUUGCAUGAAAAUGCAUAGAUUAUUUAUUAAAAGUACAAGAUAAGAUGUUUGUUAAAUUCUAGUAAAUUUAAGUAAACUUGGAUAAAAUUCUGAAUGUAAUUCUGUUAAAAUGUUAAAAUAUUGUAAAAUAUUGUAUAUUUUCUCUAAUAAAAGAUGAAAAAUACUAACUGUGAGAACGGAGGAUCUGUUGGCUACCGAAAAUUACGAUAAGUUUCAGUAUUUUCUAUAACAAAAUCAAUUUGUUUACAGUGAAAUUCAUUUUUCAUCUUAACAUUUUACAUGCUUAUUAUAAAUAC
Macrobrachium nipponense is the source of this 794-nucleotide long non-coding RNA. RefSeq lists it as uncharacterized. The record is from RefSeq and is a predicted model, not a curated record. The transcript has 4 exons. NCBI's taxonomy places the organism in Eukaryota, Metazoa, Arthropoda, Malacostraca, Decapoda, Palaemonidae.